This 77-nucleotide transfer RNA is filed under the name Alphaproteobacteria bacterium. RNAcentral's name for it is "tRNA-His". It matches the Rfam family "tRNA". From Rfam's summary of the family: Transfer RNA (tRNA) molecules are approximately 80 nucleotides in length. Their secondary structure includes four short double-helical elements and three loops (D, anti-codon, and T loops). The record is from RNAcentral. Lineage: Bacteria; Pseudomonadati; Pseudomonadota; Alphaproteobacteria.
GCAGGCGUAGCUCAGUUGGUUAGAGCACCAGGUUGUGGCUCUGGGGGUCGCGGGUUCGAACCCCGUCGCUUGCCCCA